UGGGAUGUUCUACAACUCUUGCCUUAGAGGCAAGACUUAGUUCAAUGACUUUCAAAUAAUAAAUUAUGCCCCACGGACAAGAGUUGACACUACCAGUUAUGUCUUCAUUUAUGGGAUUCUACAACUCUUGCCUUAAAGGCAACACUUUGCUCAAGGACAUCAACUAAUAAAUUAUGCCCCAUGGGAAAGAGCUGAUACUACCACAUUAUGUUUUUAUUUGUGAGAUAUUCUACAACUCUCGCCUUAGAGACACGACUUAUCUCAAGAAUUUUCAAAGAACUUAGUAACAACAAUUCAU
RNAcentral lists this long non-coding RNA (298 nucleotides) under Capsicum annuum. RNAcentral describes it as "long non-coding RNA (CANN_LNC013438)". Lineage: Eukaryota; Viridiplantae; Streptophyta; Magnoliopsida; Solanales; Solanaceae. The record is from RNAcentral.